Molecule: long non-coding RNA, 813 nt
Organism: Mercurialis annua (annual mercury)
Lineage: Eukaryota; Viridiplantae; Streptophyta; Magnoliopsida; Malpighiales; Euphorbiaceae
Exons: 3
Source: RefSeq, a predicted model, not a curated record
AUUAAACACCAUCUAAAGACUGCAUCUCUUUCAUCGGGCUUCUCUUUCAAUUUCAUCAGGCUUCUCUUUCAAUUUUACAUUUCAAAUUGAGAACGAGCUAUAGCUUCUGUUCGUCAUCCCCGAUCUCCAAAACUAUCCUUCAUCCUUCAUCGUCAUCCCCGAUCUCAGCUUUGCAAUUAGGUUUCUCUCUGCUUAUAUUGGAUUUAGGGUUUCUAGAAUUUGUUUUUUGCCGCUGUUACAGCGAUUGAGCUUCUCUUCCAUAGCCAUCGUCAUCUUCAUCGCCAUCACCAAAGGUAACAUCUGUUUCUCUUUCAAUCUCUAAUUCAUCGCCAAAGGUAACAUCUGUUUCUCUUUCAAUUUUAUUUUUAUUUUCAUUGCUAACAUCUCUUUCUCUUCUAGGUUUACUGAUCUCUUCAAAUGUCUUCUUUAAGGUCUGGUUUUCAUCUAGAUAACUUGAAACAUUUUAAGAGAAGGAAAAAUGGAAAGAAAAAUAUUGUUGAAGUGAGGUCAACAAAAAAAAUAUAAUGCCAGAGAUUUACUCAUUCUUAUUCAAAAUCUAGGACUUCAAAGGAAAAAAGAACUAAAGAAAAAAUCGGCGAAGUGAAAUCCACGGGAGCAGCUCAUGCAAUUGAAGAGGAUUUAGUCGAUGAUGCUAUUGUUAGCGAAAAACAAAGAGAACAAGAACAUCUCGAAAAGGAUACAGAGGAGCAAGAAGAAACCGAACAUCUUGAUGAGAAUAUUGAAGUACAACCGAAUGAAGAGACAAGUUCAGGUAUCAAAGAUUCUUAGUUACUUCUUGAACUUUAUUCUUGA